This 519-nucleotide ribosomal RNA is filed under the name uncultured bacterium. RNAcentral describes it as "bacterial SSU rRNA". It matches the Rfam family "Archaeal small subunit ribosomal RNA", at positions 345 to 866 of the family's 1478-position model. The record is from RNAcentral.
AACCUCCGCAAUGUGAGAAAUCGCGACGGGGGGAUCCCAAGUGCCAUUCUUAACGGGAUGGCUUUUCAUUAGUGUAAAGAGCUUUUGGAAUAAGAGCUGGGCAAGACCGGUGCCAGCCGCCGCGGUAACACCAGCAGCUCUAGUGGUAACAAUUUUUAUUGGGCCUAAAGCGUCCGUAGCCGGUUUAAUAAGUCUCUGGUGAAAUCCUGCAGCUUAACUGUGGGAAUUGCUGGAGAUACUAUUAGACUUGAGACCGGGAGAGGUUAGAGGUACUCCCAGGGUAGAGGUGAAAUUCUGUAAUCCUGGGAGGACCGCCUGUUGCGAAGGCGUCUAACUGGAACGGUUCUGACGGUGAGGGACGAAAGUUAGGGGCGCGAACCGGAUUAGAUACCCGGGUAGUCCUAACUGUAAACGAUGCGGACUUGGUGUUGGGGUGGCUUUGAGCUGCUUCAGUGCCGAAGGGAAGCUGUAAGUCCGCCGCCUGGAAGUACGGUCGCAAGACUGAAACUUAAAGGAAUU